GCAACAAUAUUUGUACCGCUUUUAUUUGGAAAAAUAACCAUCUGAAUGCAUUUCCAUAGUAUAUUACAGUUAAGUACUUCAUGACAUGAUUAGCAUUCAGUAGUUGAAAAAGUAUUAAACUGUGCUUGAGAAGAUUCCAAUUGGUUCAAAGUCAUUCACUGAACUAAAAGUCAUUUCCUCAUUUUUAUAGUCAUGGCAUUUACCAGAGUCAUUCAACUCCAAUUUUCAUAAGAAAACAUUACAGACAAAAUCCCACUGAAAUCAUCAAACAAUAUUUUAUGCUGUUACAAAUAUGUUAUGCAAAAUAUAACACUGGCACCAGAUUUGUAUCAUCACGUUUUGCAAAGAUAUAUUGCACAUGCUAAAGCAUAAAAUAUAUAGACAAAACUACCAAACAAAAGAUAUUUGCAUUGAAUUUUUAGGUCACUGCAUAAGAAACGCAUAGAAUUACAUUUUAUACACACACUCAGAUUGUCACUAUCUUAAAAUGCUCUUCCCCUAUAACACUGACCUAUGGUUUAUGGUUUUGUAAAAAGAAAGCAUUUUAGCACUGCAAAAUCAAACAUAAUUCCUAUAGAAAACUUCAGCAUCUUCAUUUU
Molecule: long non-coding RNA, 599 nt
Filed under: Bos taurus (domestic cattle)
Lineage: Eukaryota; Metazoa; Chordata; Mammalia; Artiodactyla; Bovidae
Description: long non-coding RNA NONBTAT011383
Source: RNAcentral